Molecule: ribosomal RNA, 250 nt
Filed under: uncultured bacterium
Lineage: Bacteria
Description: partial 16S ribosomal RNA
Rfam family: Bacterial small subunit ribosomal RNA
Source: RNAcentral
UGAGGAAUAUUGGUCAAUGGACGCAAGUCUGAACCAGCCAUGCCGCGUGCAGGAAGACUGCCCUAUGGGUUGUAAACUGCUUUUAUUCGGGAAUAAACCCCUUCUCGUGAGGAGGGCUGAAGGUACCGAAUGAAUAAGCACCGGCUAACUCCGUGCCAGCAGCCGCGGUAAUACGGAGGGUGCAAGCGUUAUCCGGAAUCAUUGGGUUUAAAGGGUCCGCAGGCGGAAUAAUAAGUCAGUGGUGAAAUCU